UACGGAGGAUGCAAGUGUUAUCCGGAAUCACUGGGCGUAAAGCGUCUGUAGGUGGUCAAAUAAGUCAACUGUUAAAUCUUGAGGCUCAACCUCAAAAUCGCAGUCGAAACUAUUAGACUAGAGUAUAGUAGGGGUAAAGGGAAUUUCCAGUGGAGCGGUGAAAUGCGUAGAUAUUGGAAAGAACACCGAUGGCGAAGGCACUUUACUGGGCUAUUACUAACACUCAGAGACGAAAGCUAGGGUAGCAAAUGGG
RNAcentral lists this ribosomal RNA (253 nucleotides) under uncultured bacterium. RNAcentral describes it as "partial 16S ribosomal RNA". It matches the Rfam family "Bacterial small subunit ribosomal RNA", at positions 524 to 776 of the family's 1533-position model. The record is from RNAcentral.